RNAcentral lists this ribosomal RNA (498 nucleotides) under uncultured bacterium. RNAcentral describes it as "partial 16S ribosomal RNA". It matches the Rfam family "Bacterial small subunit ribosomal RNA", at positions 29 to 523 of the family's 1533-position model. The record is from RNAcentral.
AUUGAACGCUGGCGGCAUGCUUUACACAUGCAAGUCGAACGGUAACAGGCCGCAAGGUGCUGACGAGUGGCGAACGGGUGAGUAAUGCAUCGGAACGUGCCCAGUCGUGGGGGAUAACGCAGCGAAAGCUGCGCUAAUACCGCAUACGAUCUAUGGAUGAAAGCGGGGGACCGAAAGGCCUCGCGCGAUUGGAGCGGCCGAUGUCAGAUUAGGUAGUUGGUGGGGUAAAGGCUCACCAAGCCAACGAUCUGUAGCUGGUCUGAGAGGACGACCAGCCACACUGGGACUGAGACACGGCCCAGACUCCUACGGGAGGCAGCAGUGGGGAAUUUUGGACAAUGGGCGCAAGCCUGAUCCAGCAAUGCCGCGUGCAGGAAGAAGGCCUUCGGGUUGUAAACUGCUUUUGUACGGAACGAAACGGCUCUGGUUAAUACCUGGGGCUAAUGACGGUACCGUAAGAAUAAGCACCGGCUAACUACGUGCCAGCCGCCGCGGUAA